RNAcentral lists this small nucleolar RNA (107 nucleotides) under Olea europaea subsp. europaea. Its description in RNAcentral is "Plant small nucleolar RNA R71". It matches the Rfam family "Plant small nucleolar RNA R71". From Rfam's summary of the family: R71 is a member of the C/D box family of snoRNAs containing the C (UGAUGA) and D (CUGA) box motifs. Multiple nearly identical copies of this snoRNA have been identified in Arabidopsis, and it is thought to function as a 2'-O-ribose methylation guide for 18S ribosomal RNA. Lineage: Eukaryota; Viridiplantae; Streptophyta; Magnoliopsida; Lamiales; Oleaceae. The record is from Rfam by way of RNAcentral.
AAACCAUGCUGAGGACAUUUCCUUAACAUAUUUUUGAAACGAUUCCAUGCCUCUUCAAAUGAUUCGGACUCGUCUUGGUUGAAUAUAGAGAUGUCAUGCCGCAUUUU